UACGAAGGGAGCUAGCGUUGUUCGGAAUCACUGGGCGUAAAGCGCACGUAGGCGGAUUUGUAAGUGAGGGGUGAAAUCCCGGGGCUCAACCUCGGAACAGCCUUUCAUACUGCGAAUCUCGAGUCCGAUAGAGGUGGGUGGAAUUCCUAGUGUAGAGGUGAAAUUCGUAGAUAUUAGGAAGAACACCGGUGGCGAAGGCGGCCCACUGGAUCGGUACUGACGCUGAGGUGCGAAAGCGUGGGGAGCAAACAGG
Molecule: ribosomal RNA, 253 nt
Filed under: uncultured bacterium
Lineage: Bacteria
Description: partial 16S ribosomal RNA
Rfam family: Bacterial small subunit ribosomal RNA
Source: RNAcentral